This 396-nucleotide ribosomal RNA is filed under the name uncultured bacterium. RNAcentral describes it as "partial 16S ribosomal RNA". It matches the Rfam family "Bacterial small subunit ribosomal RNA", at positions 338 to 731 of the family's 1533-position model. The record is from RNAcentral.
CCUACGGGUGGCAGCAGUGAGGAAUAUUGGUCAAUGGACGCGAGCCUGAACCAGCCAAGUCGCGUGAAGGAUGACGGCCCUACGGGUUGUAAACUGCUUUUAUAAAGGAAUAAAGUUAGGCACGUGUGCCUAUUUGUAUGUACUUUAUGAAUAAGGAUCGGCUAACUCCGUGCCAGCAGCCGCGGUAAUACGGAGGAUCCAAGCGUUAUCCGGAUUUAUUGGGUUUAAAGGGAGCGUAGAUGGGUUGUUAAGUCAGUUGUGAAAGUUUGCGGCUCAACCGUAAAAUUGCAAUUGAUACUGGCAGUCUCGAGUACAGUUGAGGUAGGCGGAAUGCGUGGUGUAGCGGUGAAAUGCUUAGAUAUCACGAAGAACUCCGAUUGCGAAGGCAGCUUACUA